RNAcentral lists this small RNA (361 nucleotides) under Pan troglodytes (chimpanzee). Its description in RNAcentral is "processed transcript". The record is from RNAcentral. Lineage: Eukaryota; Metazoa; Chordata; Mammalia; Primates; Hominidae.
CAUUGACCUUACCGUUGUCUGUGAUGCCCGGAUUAAGCAGGACGCCCUAGACUUCUCUGACCUUCCUCUCCCUGCCCUGCUUGGAUAGAGGCCUCCGAACAGGAGUAAAGAAUGGCUGUUGAACAUCCACAAGGCACCUGCAAGAUCCCCCACAGGCGCUGCCUGAGACCCAGCUCUGUGUCUCCUCGUCGUACAGCUUGUGGAGCUCCGACUGCAAGGCCAUCAGCAUGCCCAGGCAGGGGUUAAGCUGGAGGGCCAUGGAGGAGGACAGGCCAGCAGGAUGCCGCUUCUGCUCCAGGACAUGCACCAUGCGUGAGAGAUUCUAAUUAUAUACAUGUUCAUAAACAUAUACUCACAUGCA